AUUGAACGCUGGCGGCAUGCCUUACACAUGCAAGUCGAACGGCAGCACGGGGCAACCUGGUGGCGAGUGGCGAACGGGUGAGUAAUGCAUCGGAACGUGCCAUUGAGUGGGGGAUAACGUAGCGAAAGUUGCGCUAAUACCGCAUAUUCUGUGAGCAGGAAAGCAGGGGACCGCAAGGCCUUGCGCUCUUUGAGCGGCCGAUGUCAGAUUAGCUAGUUGGUGAGGUAACGGCUUACCAAGGCGACGAUCUGUAGCGGGUCUGAGAGGAUGAUCCGCCACACUGGAACUGAGACACGGUCCAGACUCCUACGGGAGGCAGCAGUGGGGAAUUUUGGACAAUGGGCGCAAGCCUGAUCCAGCCAUGCCGCGUGAGUGAAGAAGGCCUUCGGGUUGUUAAAGG
RNAcentral lists this ribosomal RNA (400 nucleotides) under uncultured bacterium. Its description in RNAcentral is "bacterial SSU rRNA". It matches the Rfam family "Bacterial small subunit ribosomal RNA", at positions 30 to 432 of the family's 1533-position model. The record is from RNAcentral.